UACGGAAGGUCCGGGCGUUAUCCGGAUUUAUUGGGUUUAAAGGGAGCGCAGGCGGGCCUUUAAGCGUGACGUGAAAUGUGGCGGCUCAACCGACGAUCUGCGUCGCGAACUGGUGGUCUUGAGUGCGGACGAGGUAUGCGGAAUUUGUGGUGUAGCGGUGAAAUGCUUAGAUAUCACGAAGAACCCCGAUUGCGAAGGCAGCAUGCCAGGCCGUAACUGACGCUAAUGCUCGAAGGUGCGGGUAUCGAAC
RNAcentral lists this ribosomal RNA (250 nucleotides) under uncultured prokaryote. RNAcentral's name for it is "partial 16S ribosomal RNA". It matches the Rfam family "Bacterial small subunit ribosomal RNA", at positions 524 to 773 of the family's 1533-position model. The record is from RNAcentral.